AUGAACGCUGGCGGCGUGCCUAAUACAUGCAAGUCGAGCGAACAGACGAGGAGCUUGCUCCUUCGACGUUAGCGGCGGACGGGUGAGUAACACGUAGGUAACCUACCUAUAAGACUGGGAUAACUUCGGGAAACCGGAGCUAAUACCGGAUAAUAUUUCGAACCGCAUGGUUCGAUAGUGAAAGAUGGCUUUGCUAUCACUUAUAGAUGGACCUGCGCCGUAUUAGCUAGUUGGUAAGGUAACGGCUUACCAAGGCAACGAUACGUAGCCGACCUGAGAGGGGGAGCGGCCACACUGGAACUGAGACACGGUCCAGACUCCUACGGGAGGCAGCAGUAGGGAAUCUUCCGCAAUGGGCGAAAGCCUGACGGAGCAACGCCGCGUGAGUGAUGAAGGUCUUCGGAUCGUAAAACUCUGUUAUUAGGGAAGAACAAACGUGUAAGUAACUGUGCACGUCUUGACGGUACCUAAUCAGAAAGCCACGGCUAACUACGUG
This 496-nucleotide ribosomal RNA is filed under the name uncultured bacterium. RNAcentral describes it as "partial 16S ribosomal RNA". It matches the Rfam family "Bacterial small subunit ribosomal RNA", at positions 29 to 507 of the family's 1533-position model. The record is from RNAcentral.